ACUGAGUGGCAGACGGGUGAGUAACAUGUGGGAAUCUGCCUUGUGGUUCAGGACAACAUUGGGAAACCGAUGCUAAUACUGGAUAAGCCCUUACGGGGAAAGUUUUAAUGCCAUAAGAUGAGCCCGCAUUUGAUUAGUUAGUUGGUGAGGUAAUGGCUCACCAAGACAAUGAUCAAUAGCUGAUCUGAGAGGAUGAUCAGCCACACUGGGACUGAGACACGGCCCAGACUCCUACGGGAGGCAGCAGUGGGGAAUCUUGCACAAUGGAGGAAACUCUGAUGCAGCGAUGCCGCGUGAGUGAAGAAGGCCUUUGGGUUGUAAAGCUCUUUUGUAGGGGAAGAUAAUGACUGUACCCUAAGAAUAAGGUCCGGCUAACUUCGUGCCAGCAGCCGCGGUAAUACGAAGGGACCUAGCGUAGUUCGGAAUUACUGGGCGUAAAGCGCGCGUAGGCCGUUGAGUUAGUUAAUUGUGAAAUCCCAAAGCUUAACUUUGGAACUGCAAUUA
Molecule: ribosomal RNA, 504 nt
Filed under: uncultured Pelagibacterales bacterium
Lineage: Bacteria; Pseudomonadati; Pseudomonadota; Alphaproteobacteria; Candidatus Pelagibacterales
Description: bacterial SSU rRNA
Rfam family: Bacterial small subunit ribosomal RNA
Source: RNAcentral